This 130-nucleotide unclassified non-coding RNA is filed under the name soil metagenome. Its description in RNAcentral is "partial internal transcribed spacer 1". The record is from RNAcentral.
CAGGACUCGCAAGACUCCUUACACCCUGUGAACCUUACUGUAUACGCGUUGCUUCGGCGGGUCCGCCCGCCGGCAGCAUACCACAUUCUGUUUCUCUGCGUUGGCAUCUCGAGAAAAAGCAAAUAAGUUA